Molecule: ribosomal RNA, 540 nt
Filed under: uncultured bacterium
Lineage: Bacteria
Description: bacterial SSU rRNA
Rfam family: Bacterial small subunit ribosomal RNA
Source: RNAcentral
AAUAGAUACCCUGGUAGUCCACGCUGUAAACGGUGGGUACUAGGUGUGGGGUCCAUUCCACGGGUUCCGCGCCGUAGCUAACGCUUUAAGUACCCCGCCUGGGGAGUACGGCCGCAAGGCUAAAACUCAAAGGAAUUGACGGGGCCCCGCACAAGCGGCGGAGCAUGCGGAUUAAUUCGAUGCAACGCGUAGAACCUUACCUGGGUUUGACAUGGAUCGGGAGUGCUCAGAGAUGGGUGUGCCUCUUUUGGGGUCGGUUCACAGGUGGUGCAUGGCUGUCGUCAGCUCGUGUCGUGAGAUGUUGGGUUAAGUCCCGCAACGAGCGCAACCCUUGUCCACUGUUGCCAGCACGUUAUGGUGGGGACUCAGUGGAGACCGCCGGGGUCAACUCGGAGGAAGGUGGGGAUGACGUCAAGUCAUCAUGCCCCUUAUGUCCAGGGCUUCACGCAUGCUACAAUGGCUGGUACAGAGAGUGGCGAGCCUGUGAGGGUGAGCGAAUCUCGGAAAGCCGGUCUCAGUUCGGAUUGGGGUCUGCUAACG